RNAcentral lists this ribosomal RNA (253 nucleotides) under uncultured bacterium. Its description in RNAcentral is "partial 16S ribosomal RNA". It matches the Rfam family "Bacterial small subunit ribosomal RNA", at positions 524 to 776 of the family's 1533-position model. The record is from RNAcentral.
UACGGGGGGAGCAAGCGUUGUUCGGAUUUACUGGGCGUAAAGAGUGCGUAGGCGGUCCUGUAAGUUUGGUGUGAAAUCUCCCGGCUCAACUGGGAGGGUGCGCCGAAGACUGCAGGGCUUGAGUAUGGGAGAGGUAAGCGGAAUUCCUGGUGUAGCGGUGAAAUGCGUAGAUAUCAGGAGGAACACCUGUGGUGUAGACAGCUUACUGGACCAUAACUGACGCUGAGGCACGAAAGCGUGGGUAGCAAACAGG